ACUAGUUAAAUGCGUAAUGCGAUUUGAUUUCGACUCAAAAGGUGAUUAAUA
RNAcentral lists this transfer RNA (51 nucleotides) under Cheiracanthium brevispinum. RNAcentral describes it as "tRNA-Arg". The record is from RNAcentral. Lineage: Eukaryota; Metazoa; Arthropoda; Arachnida; Araneae; Cheiracanthiidae.